Molecule: transfer RNA, 64 nt
Filed under: Cryptocephalus aureolus
Lineage: Eukaryota; Metazoa; Arthropoda; Insecta; Coleoptera; Chrysomelidae
Description: tRNA-Phe
Source: RNAcentral
ACUUAAAUAGCUUAUAUGAGAGCAUAGUAUUGAAGAUACUAAGGAAAAUUAUAUUUUUUAAGUA